This 460-nucleotide ribosomal RNA is filed under the name uncultured bacterium. Its description in RNAcentral is "partial 16S ribosomal RNA". It matches the Rfam family "Bacterial small subunit ribosomal RNA", at positions 338 to 795 of the family's 1533-position model. The record is from RNAcentral.
CCUACGGGGGGCUGCAGUGAGGAAUAUUGGUCAAUGGACGAGAGUCUGAACCAGCCAAGUAGCGUGAAGGAUGACUGCCCUAUGGGUUGUAAACUUCUUUUAUAUGGGAAUAAAAUGUUCCACGUGUGGGAUUUUGUAUGUCCCAUAUGAAUAAUGAUCGGCUAACUCCGUGCCAGCAGCCGCGGUAAUACGGAGGAUCCGAGCGUUAUCCGGAUUUAUUGGGUUUAAAGGGAGCGUAGGUGGAUUGUUAAGUCAGUUGUGAAAGUUUGCGGCUCAACCGUAAAAUUGCAGUUGAAACUGGCAGUCUUGAGUACAGUAGAGGUGGGCGGAAUUCGUGGUGUAGCGGUGAAAUGCUUAGAUAUCACGAAGAACUCCGAUUGCGAAGGCAGUUCACUGGACUGCAACUGACACUGAGGCUCGAAAGUGUGGGUAUCAAACAGGAUUAGAUACCCCUGUAGUC